GACGAACGCUGGCGGCGUGCCUAAUACAUGCAAGUUGAGCGCUGAAGGUUGGUACUUGUACCAACUGGAUGAGCAGCGAACGGGUGAGUAACGCGUGGGGAAUCUGCCUUUGAGCGGGGGACAACAUUUGGAAACGAAUGCUAAUACCGCAUAAAAACUUUAAACACAAGUUUUAAGUUUGAAAGAUGCAAUUGCAUCACUCAAAGAUGAUCCCGCGUUGUAUUAGCUAGUUGGUGAGGUAAAGGCUCACCAAGGCGAUGAUACAUAGCCGACCUGAGAGGGUGAUCGGCCACAUUGGGACAGAGACACGGCCCAAACUCCUACGGGAGGCAGCAGUAGGGAAUCUUCGGCAAUGGACGAAAGUCUGACCGAGCAACGCCGCGUGAGUGAAGAAGGUUGUCGGAUCGUAAAACUCUGUUGGUAGAGAAGAACGUUGGUGAGAGUGGAAAGCUCAUCAAGUGACGGUAACUACCCAGAAAGGGACGGCUAACUACGUG
Molecule: ribosomal RNA, 497 nt
Filed under: uncultured bacterium
Lineage: Bacteria
Description: partial 16S ribosomal RNA
Rfam family: Bacterial small subunit ribosomal RNA
Source: RNAcentral